UAGGCGACGUUCAAAUAGCUAGGGAUGG
This 28-nucleotide small RNA is filed under the name Bombyx mori (domestic silkworm). Its description in RNAcentral is "piRNA piR-bmo-1736634". Lineage: Eukaryota; Metazoa; Arthropoda; Insecta; Lepidoptera; Bombycidae. The record is from RNAcentral.